This 1740-nucleotide unclassified non-coding RNA is filed under the name Hevea brasiliensis (rubber tree). Lineage: Eukaryota; Viridiplantae; Streptophyta; Magnoliopsida; Malpighiales; Euphorbiaceae. The record is from RNAcentral.
GUGAAUGUCAAAAGGGUACUACCAGUUAUCUAUAACAAAGUAUGAUUUUGUAUCAUGAAACAUGGUUAGACAUAAGCAGGCUUUACAUCUUCACCCAGGCAGUUCAGCACAACCAUGGGCUGCAAGAUCAUAAAAAUGACCUUUCUUUUUGGAAAUCUAUGAGAUGAGCUACAUAAUAGAAGGCAACUCUCACUUUUCCUGCAAUUGAGUUUGGAGAAAGUUAACCUGAAACUUUCUAAUAGAGGCGCUGAAUAUUUACCUCAAUAUGGCUUCCAAAACCACACACAUAUAUAUGACUCGAUUAAAGUUUUAGAAAAUGAGAAAUCAUGCAGAAAACAGAUAAUUUCAAUCUGCAUCAGCUAUCCUGCAGGAAUGAAUCAUAACAUUUGACUGGUCCAACCAAACCAAGGGCUUCUGUAAGUGCCUCUAAGAGAUGCUCUGGAUAAUCCUCAAUACAAGCAAGGCCAUGCUGUGAUUGCAUGGAUCUUAAGACCCUUCCAACAAUCUUGCGUGCAUAGCCACCAUAAGCUAUCCCACCAAUUAAAGCAUUUGCGGAAUAAGGCGAUGAGGCCACUGAUUUAUUGUCUUCAGCAACUAAUGCUGUUUGAAAGAGUCCCUCCCUUUUUAGCCCAUCAACAGUCUGUGCAUUUGUGCCACCUGCCAAUUGAAAAAAUCCUACCAGCACAGGAAGGUGAAAUACAGGCUUAAUUCACACACAUCAUCAGCUGAGAACAGCUCAAAAUGACCAUAAACUUUUACACAAAGCUAGUGGUUUUCACACAAACCAUGAGGCUUGCUGUUGGCUGCAGCCAAACGGACAGCAAAUGCAAUUGACUCCCUUGUGGUACCUCGGCCAAUAUCUCCACUCAUGGGGCGGCCAUCCAACUGCCAUAAAUUGAGGCAUUUUAACUGAGGUUCCAUGACUGAGUACAUUGCGUUCAUUGCAGAUACAGUUGAAUCCCCAGUAUAGGGUAAGCUAACUGCAAUUAGUUUCAGACAUCCAAGUGAGUUUCCCAAACCAUCCCAAAGUUCCUUGAAGGAAGCCAUCUGCCUUCCACUUGUAUGUAUCUCUAUGGCCUCAACAUCAUUUCUUUUAAUAAGUUCAGCAGUAGCAGUAGCAUCUCUCACAUAUGUAGCCUCUCUUAUUUUAUCAUAGGGGCACACAGGAAAGCAACGGCCACAGCCAUAACAGCGUUCAGUUAUGACUCCACCCUUUAACACAUUUAGCAUUUCUGUACCAUAGGAGAAAUGUGCUGGUGAUUUGUCUUCUUCUAAUGAUAUUGCGUUUGCAGGACAAACAUUCUCACAAGGCCUUGAACAAUGCGGUGGACAUUCCUCUGGAUCAAAUUCGGCUUUGCGAAAGUGAAGAUCCUUAUCGUCAUUGACGCUAAUCAUUACCCAAGGCCUUCGAAUGUGAACAAUUUUUCUUGCAGCUUGAAUACCGUCAUUUACAGCACUAACCACUGAUUCAUCAGCAGCACAAUCAAUGCAAUCAACUCCGGCUAAAGUGUAAACCAAAGAGAGAUUCCUGAUAUCAACAGCAUCCUCAAAGCUUGCACCGCAUAUAAGCUUGACCCAGUUGCCCUUUUGCAGUGAUUCCUGUGGAGCACACACAACUGAAGGAACCUCAAAUUUUCUCACAAGGUUUCUGACACUUUCAAGACAUCUACUGUUCCUGUGACCUGCUUUUCCUUGCUGUUGAGGUAAAACUGUAGCAUUAAUGCACAAGCUGAAGGCCAU